UUUCCGUAGGUGAACCUGCGGAAGGAUCAUUCAUAAUAGGUGUUUUACUGCACUUUUUAAAAAUAGUACUCACCUUGUGUGCAAUGUUGUGUUUCUUUUCGGAGAAACACCUACACCAACCUAUAACCUUGAACCACUUUGUCUGAAAAACUAUUAUGAAUACUUAAUUCAAAAUACAACUUUCAACAACGGAUCUCUUGGCUCUC
RNAcentral lists this unclassified non-coding RNA (206 nucleotides) under plant metagenome. RNAcentral's name for it is "partial contains small subunit ribosomal RNA, internal transcribed spacer 1, and 5.8S ribosomal RNA". The record is from RNAcentral.